Molecule: ribosomal RNA, 253 nt
Filed under: uncultured bacterium
Lineage: Bacteria
Description: partial 16S ribosomal RNA
Rfam family: Bacterial small subunit ribosomal RNA
Source: RNAcentral
UACGGGGGGGGUAAGCGUUGUUCGGAAUUACUGGGCGUAAAGGGCUCGUAGGCGGCCAACUAAGUCAUACGUGAAAUCCCUCAGCUUAACUGGGGAACUGCGUGUGAUACUGGAUGGCUUGGAUUUGGGAGAGGGAUGCGGAAUUCCAGGUGUAGCGGUGAGAUGCGUAGAUAUCUGGAGGAACACCGGUGGCGAAGGCGGCAUCCUGGACCAAUAUUGACGCUGAGGAGCGAAAGCGUGGGGAGCGAACAGG